RNAcentral lists this ribosomal RNA (459 nucleotides) under uncultured bacterium. RNAcentral describes it as "partial 16S ribosomal RNA". It matches the Rfam family "Bacterial small subunit ribosomal RNA", at positions 338 to 795 of the family's 1533-position model. The record is from RNAcentral.
CCUACGGGAGGCAGCAGUGAGGAAUAUUGGUCAAUGGUCGGGAUACUGAACCAGCCAAGCCGCGUGAGGGAGGACGGUACAGAGUAUCGUAAACCUCUUUUGUCGGGGAACAAAACCUGGGACGCGUCCCCGGCUGCGUGUACCUGAAGAAAAAGCAUCGGCUAACUCCGUGCCAGCAGCCGCGGUAAUACGGAGGAUGCGAGCGUUAUCCGGCUUUAUUGGGUUUAAAGGGUGCGUAGGCGGUCCGUUACGUCAGCGGUAAAAUCCCGGGGCUCAACCCCGUCCCGCCGUUGAAACUGGCAGGCUUGAGUUGGAGAGAAGUAUGCGGAAUGCGCGGUGUAGCGGUGAAAUGCAUAGAUAUCGCGCAGAACUCCGAUUGCGAAGGCAGCAUGCCGGCUCCAGACUGACGCUGAGGCACGAAAGCGUGGGGAUCGAACAGGAUUAGAUACCCUGGUAGUC